GAACUGCGAUAAGCAAUGCGAAUUGCAGAAUUCCGCGAGACAUCAGAUCUUCGAACGCACUCUGCGCUAGAGGGAAACUCCAUCUAGCAUAUUUGUCUCAGUGUAAACAUUUUAAAAUAAAUAAAUAUGAUUGAUUCUUAAAAAAAUCUCUCAUUAAAUCAAAAUAAGAUUAUUAUUCAAUCCAAUGAAUCGGUAGUUUAAAAAACUAUUUCGUUGGGAUAAAUUGAUUAAUAUUUUUUAUAGAAAAGUUACCACAAUCAAUAAAUACUUACCUGAGAUCAAGUAAGAAUACCCGCUGGAGUUAA
RNAcentral lists this unclassified non-coding RNA (305 nucleotides) under uncultured fungus. RNAcentral describes it as "sequence contains ITS1". The stretch from base 1 to 106 matches the Rfam family "5.8S ribosomal RNA", at positions 50 to 154 of the family's 154-position model. The record is from RNAcentral. Lineage: Eukaryota; Fungi.